UACAGAGGUCUCAAGCGUUGUUCGGAUUCAUUGGGCGUAAAGGGUUCGUAGGCGGCGCGGUAAGUCGGGUGUGAAAUCUCGGAGCUUAACUCCGAAACUGCAUUCGAUACUGCCGUGCUUGAGGACUGGAGAGGAGACUGGAAUUUACGGUGUAGCGGUGAAAUGCGUAGAUAUCGUAAGGAAGACCAGUGGCGAAGGCGGGUCUCUGGACAGUUCCUGACGCUGAGGCACGAAGGCCAGGGGAGCAAACGGG
Molecule: ribosomal RNA, 253 nt
Filed under: uncultured bacterium
Lineage: Bacteria
Description: partial 16S ribosomal RNA
Rfam family: Bacterial small subunit ribosomal RNA
Source: RNAcentral